GAUGAACGCUGGCGGCGUGCCCAAUACAUGCAAGUCGAGCGCACGGACGAGAUGCUUGCAUCUCUUAGGUUAGCGGCGGACGGGUGAGUAACACGUGGAUAACCUACCUAUAAGACUGGGAUAACAUCGGGAAACCGGUGCUAAUACCGGAUGAUAUUUUGAACCACAUGGUUCAAGAGUGAAAGAUGGUCUUGCUGUACCCAAUAAAUAUAUCCGCUCUGCAUUAGCAAUUUGGUAAGUUAACGGCUAACCAAGGCAACGAUCAAUACCCGACUUGGGAGGGGGAUGGCCCACACUGGAAUUGAGACACGGUCCAAACUCCUACGGGAGGCAGCAGAAGGGAAUCUUCGGCAAUGGGCGAAAGCCGGACGGAGCAACGCCGCGUGAGUGAUGAAGGUCUUCGGAUCGUAAAACUCUGUUAUUAGGGAAGAACAUAUGUGUAAGUAACUGUGCACAUCUUGACGGUACCUAAUCAGAAAGCCACGGCUAACUACGUG
This 497-nucleotide ribosomal RNA is filed under the name uncultured bacterium. RNAcentral describes it as "partial 16S ribosomal RNA". It matches the Rfam family "Bacterial small subunit ribosomal RNA", at positions 28 to 507 of the family's 1533-position model. The record is from RNAcentral.